Molecule: ribosomal RNA, 121 nt
Filed under: Sus scrofa (pig)
Lineage: Eukaryota; Metazoa; Chordata; Mammalia; Artiodactyla; Suidae
Source: RNAcentral
UCUACUGGUCAUAUCACCUGAAUGUGCCCAAUCCUUGUCUGAUCUCAGAAGCCAAGCAGGGUCAGACUGGGUUAGUACUUGGAUGGGAGAAGUGAUUUGUUAGAAUAAGAUGCUGGUGUGA